ACCUGCCCUCGCCGUUGGCCCUCUCCCCCGCCCGUCCCCUCUUCCUCCCGCGGGGCCGGGAAGAGCGGCCGGUUCCCGAGCCCGCGAGGGUGGCGGCUGUCCCCCAGCCCUCCCCGCCCUCCCGGAGCGCGCUCCCCCACCUCGGGGCGCGGGGCCGCGGCAGGCAAGGAGUGUUUCCCCCGCCCUCCGGCCCUCGCCUCGGGCGCUCCGGGCGGCCUCCGUCCCGGCGACCCGCGGGGCCUGAGCCUCCCUGUCCCUCCCUCCUUCCAGCCUUAGGCCGCCCCGUUCCGCCUCUACUCUUUCCGUCCUAACACGCAGGCGACGGCACUGAAGUCAGGCUCUCAGAGCCCGGCUCUGCUCGCUUUAGCUGCGAGACCUUGGGCUUGUCUUCUAACCUCUCUGAGCCCCAGCUGCCAUCCGACUCUGAGAAGAGUAAAAACCUGCCUCACCGGGUAAAGUUGAAUGAUGCACGUAGAAGGGCCUAGAACUUAGCAGACUGUGGUAGCCGAGAAAAGCCUUCUGCUGCCCUCACCCCUUGCCAGGCACAUGAGGAGCAGGAGUGAGGAACAGGACUCUCAGAAGCCCAGGCCUCUUCUGCUCCAAGACCCAAGGCCUCUGCCAGGCCCCUGCUGCGGGGACUCAGAGCCUGGAGGCUGGGGCCGAAGGGAGUGGGGGUGGCACCAGCAGCUAAAUUUGCUUAUGACUAGCCUGUCAGUCCCUUAAUCUGAUCCCCGAGGAAGAACGGCAGAGGCUUCACUCUGGAUGACAAACGAGGAGGGGAGAGGCCUGCCCUGCCUGGACUCCUGGCCCCAGCCAUGUCUGUAAGCAAGAUGACACCUAGAGCGAGUCCCUGUAUCUCCUUUAUCUUCCUCACUGGGAUGUCCCCAGUGGUUCAUGCUCAGACCUGGGAAUCCUGAUUCACCUUGGCCUGCAGCUGGACUCAGAAGGACGAGUGGCUGAGGCACCCCCACGUGGCUUCCAGACCUCAGGGGCCCUGAGGAGUAGCGCCAAUCUGGGGGUGCAAGGUGGAUGCAGAAAGGACACUGGAGAGACUUUGGUGGCACUCAUGGCCAUGGUUUCUCCUCUUCCUCCUCCCUCUGGCUCCCGGACCCCCACGUCUGCUUUGUCUGCCAUCUACAGACCCCCACCCCCACCCCCAGGUGUCCUCCCAGCUGUUCUGCUCAUGCCCUCCUGCCUCUCACAGCCAGGUCUGCCACAGGGGGAGGCAAAGCAUUGGCCCCAAGCUUCUCAUUUCAAGAACCUUUGACCUUGAGUGUGCAUACUUCAGCACACUCCUGCAGGGUUGGCAGUCAGGAGGCACCUGUGGACUCCGGAGACAGAGCUGGGCAGAGGUCAAGCGUGUGGCCCUUAGCAGCAGGCAGAACAGGUCUCAAUAUCUUCUCCAGUCUCUAGCAGAGUGGUCUUGGCCAUGUCACUUAACUUCUCUGAGCCUCAGUGGCCUCAUCGCCAAUAUGGGUCUGAUAACACCUGCCUCAAACAGUUAUUGUGAAGGUUAAAUACAUAGUAAUACAGCAAACUACAGGAAAUUGCCUUUAUUCGACCUGCUUUUGACAUUAAUAAAUAUUUAUUGGGUGAAAUACUACAUCAAUAAACUCUA
Microcebus murinus (gray mouse lemur) is the source of this 1618-nucleotide non-coding RNA. NCBI's taxonomy places the organism in Eukaryota, Metazoa, Chordata, Mammalia, Primates, Cheirogaleidae. The record is from RefSeq and is a predicted model, not a curated record.